AGUAGAGUGGCCGAGGGUAAUAGGUGAUAGAUUGUAAAUCUAUGAAGGGGCGGUGUUGCCCCUCUACUA
This 69-nucleotide transfer RNA is filed under the name Cryptotermes bracketti. Its description in RNAcentral is "tRNA-Tyr". The record is from RNAcentral. Lineage: Eukaryota; Metazoa; Arthropoda; Insecta; Blattodea; Kalotermitidae.